This is a long non-coding RNA of Musca vetustissima, 373 nucleotides long. RefSeq lists it as uncharacterized. The record is from RefSeq and is a predicted model, not a curated record. Lineage: Eukaryota; Metazoa; Arthropoda; Insecta; Diptera; Muscidae. The transcript is spliced from 2 exons.
CGUUAUAGGCCAUCACGAUUGGGGUCAGGAUAAAAGCACCGGUGCCCGACGCUGUCCAAUGUGUUUAGAGGUAGGACCUGUUGUGACAUUGUGUAUGGGCCUCGAACCGGCAUUCUAUGUAGAUAUUGGCCCGCCAACAUUUGCAUUUAAUCCAUGUGGUCACAUGGCGACUGAGAAAACGGUUAAAUAUUGGGUCAAUGUGGAUAUACCACAUGGUACAAAUGCUUUUCAACCUGUUUGUCCAUUCUGUGCGACGCCAUUAGACGCCAAUUCGGGUUAUAUUAAAUUAAUUUUUCAAGAUAAUUUAGAUUAAAGAUGUGUAUUAUAUAAAUAUAUAUUAUUAUUAUUAAAUAUUAAACAAAAAAACAGAAAA